This 478-nucleotide ribosomal RNA is filed under the name uncultured bacterium. RNAcentral describes it as "SSU rRNA". It matches the Rfam family "Bacterial small subunit ribosomal RNA", at positions 26 to 523 of the family's 1533-position model. The record is from RNAcentral.
AGGACGAACGCUGGCGGCGUGCUUAACACAUGCAAGUCGAGCGAGGCCCUCUCUUCGGAGAGGUGCCCUAGCGGCGAACGGGUGAGUAACACGUGGGCAACCUGCCCCUAGCACUGGGAUAAGCCCGGGAAACCGGGUCUAAUACCGGAUAUGACCUUCAAGGGCAUCCUCGAAGGUGUAAAGGAUUCUGGCUAGGGAUGGGCCCGCGGCCUAUCAGCUUGUUGGUGGGGUAAUGGCCCACCAAGGCAACGACGGGUAGCCGGCCUGAGAGGGCGACCGGCCACACUGGGACUGAGACACGGCCCAGACUCCUACGGGAGGCAGCAGUGGGGAAUAUUGCACAAUGGGCGAAAGCCUGAUGCAGCGACGCCGCGUGAGGGAUGACGGCCUCGGUUGUAACCUCUUCAGCUCCGACGAAGCGAAGUGACGGUAGGAGCAGAAGAAGCACCGGCCAACUACGUGCCAGCAGCCGCGGUAA